CGCGCAGGCGGCGGCAGAAGUUCCGGGUGAAAGCCCCGGCUCAACCGGGGAAGGUCCUGGAAAACCAUGCGGCUGGAGUGCUGGAGAGGCUAGCGGAAUUUCGGGUGUAGCGGUGAAAUGCGUAGAUAUCCGAAGGAACACCGGAGGCGAAGGCGGCUAGCUGGACAGACACUGACGCUGAGGCGCGAAAGCCAGGGGAGCAAACG
Molecule: ribosomal RNA, 206 nt
Filed under: uncultured bacterium
Lineage: Bacteria
Description: partial 16S ribosomal RNA
Rfam family: Bacterial small subunit ribosomal RNA
Source: RNAcentral